CUGUCUGCCCUGCUUGUGUCCCCCUGUCUGGAGAGAGGUGGCUCGGGGCUGCAGGGUAGACACAGAGAAACCCCGUCCACACAAGGAGGCCUGUCCACAGAAUUGGACAUGUCCUUAAAGGCAGGACGGCACAAC
Molecule: non-coding RNA, 135 nt
Organism: Acipenser ruthenus (sterlet)
Lineage: Eukaryota; Metazoa; Chordata; Actinopteri; Acipenseriformes; Acipenseridae
Product: small Cajal body-specific RNA 11
Exons: 1
Source: RefSeq, a predicted model, not a curated record